GUAAAUAACUUAAUGGUAGAGCAUAGCCUUGCCAAGGCUGAGGUUGAGGGUUCAAGUCCCUCCUGCUCCU
Molecule: non-coding RNA, 70 nt
Organism: Rhododendron griersonianum
Lineage: Eukaryota; Viridiplantae; Streptophyta; Magnoliopsida; Ericales; Ericaceae
Source: the annotation of a GenBank genome assembly